RNAcentral lists this ribosomal RNA (461 nucleotides) under uncultured prokaryote. RNAcentral describes it as "bacterial SSU rRNA". It matches the Rfam family "Bacterial small subunit ribosomal RNA", at positions 9 to 467 of the family's 1533-position model. The record is from RNAcentral.
GAGUUUGAUCCUGGCUCAGAUUGAACGCUGGCGGCAGGCUUAACACAUGCAAGUCGAGCGGAAACGAAGAGGUGCUUGCACCUCUGGCGUCGAGCGGCGGACGGGUGAGUAAUGCUUGGGAAUAUGCCUUAUGGUGGGGGACAACAGUUGGAAACGACUGCUAAUACCGCAUGAUGUCUACGGACCAAAGUGGGGGACCUUCGGGCCUCACGCCAUAAGAUUAGCCCAAGUGGGAUUAGCUAGUUGGUGAGGUAAUGGCUCACCAAGGCGACGAUCCCUAGCUGGUUUGAGAGGAUGAUCAGCCACACUGGGACUGAGACACGGCCCAGACUCCUACGGGAGGCAGCAGUGGGGAAUAUUGCACAAUGGGCGCAAGCCUGAUGCAGCCAUGCCGCGUGUGUGAAGAAGGCCUUCGGGUUGUAAAGCACUUUCAGUAAGGAGGAAAGGUUAAGUGUUAAUAG